RNAcentral lists this ribosomal RNA (493 nucleotides) under uncultured bacterium. RNAcentral describes it as "partial 16S ribosomal RNA". It matches the Rfam family "Bacterial small subunit ribosomal RNA", at positions 28 to 507 of the family's 1533-position model. The record is from RNAcentral.
GACGAACGCUGGCGGCGUGCCUAACACAUGCAAGUUGAGCGACGAACCAGGGCUUGCCCUGGGGCAAAGCAGCGAACGGGUGAGUAACACGUGGGUAACCUACCCCGAUAACCGGGACAACCCGAGGAAACUCGGGCUAAUACCGGAUGUGCUCACUGGACUUCGGUUCAGUGCGUAAAGGAAGCUUCGGCCUCCGUAUCGGGAGGGGCCCGCGGCCCAUUAGUUUGUUGGUGAGGUAACGGCUCACCAAGACCGCGAUGGGUAGCUGGUCUGAGAGGACGAUCAGCCACACUGGGACUGAGACACGGCCCAGACUCCUACGGGAGGCAGCAGUGGGGAAUCUUGCGCAAUGCGCGAAAGCGUGACGCAGCAACGCCGCGUGGGGGAAGAAGGCCUUCGGGUUGUAAACCCCUUUCAGGAGGGACGAAGGUUCGGCGGUGAAUAGCCGUCCGGACUGACGGUACAUCCACAAGAAGCCCCGGCUAACUACGUG